AACAGUUUCAUUUCCGGAGCCACCGGAAGCAGCUUGCAAAUGGCGUCUCCCUCGCUGGAGCGGCCAGAAAAAGGGGCUGGAAAAAGUGAAUAUCGUAACCAGAAGCCGAAGCCGGAGAACCAAGAUGAAUCAGAACUCCUUACGGUUCCUGAUGGUUGGAAGGAACCAGCUUUUUCCAAAGAGGACAAUCCCAGAGGACUUUUGGAGGAGAGCAGUUUCGCAACUUUGUUCCCAAAAUACAGGGAAGCUUACUUGAAAGAGUGUUGGCCAUUGGUGCAGAAAGCCUUAAAUGAACAUCAUGUUAAUGCAACCCUGGACCUGAUCGAAGGCAGCAUGACUGUUUGUACUACAAAGAAGACUUUUGAUCCAUAUAUCAUCAUUAGGGCCAGAGAUCUGAUAAAACUGUUAGCAAGGAGUGUUUCAUUUGAACAGGUAAAUCUAGAAUUACAGAGACUUUGCUUUGUUUGCAUCAGUGUUAACCUAUAACAUCCCACCAUCAAGUUUUCUAUUUGUGCUUAGGUAACAAUAGCGUGGGCCUGGAAAAUGAAUGUAAUUGUAAAAAAUGUUGAUAAUGUCUUCUUUUUUUUUUUUUUUUUUUUGCAAAAGGCAGUACGAAUUCUUCAGGAUGAUGUUGCAUGUGACAUCAUUAAAAUAGGUUCUUUAGUAAGGAAUAAAGAGAGAUUUGUAAAACGAAGA
Molecule: small RNA, 696 nt
Filed under: Pan troglodytes (chimpanzee)
Lineage: Eukaryota; Metazoa; Chordata; Mammalia; Primates; Hominidae
Description: retained intron
Source: RNAcentral